CCUAACGGUUAAUACCCGGAGACGAUGACAUUAGCUGCAGAAUAAGCACCGGCUAACUCUGUGCCAGCAGCCGCGGUAAUACAGAGGGUGCAAGCGUUAAUCGGAAUUACUGGGCGUAAAGCGAGCGUAGGUGGCUUGAUAAGUCAGAUGUGAAAUCCCCGGGCCUAACCUGGGAACUGCAUCUGAAACUGUUAGGCUAGAGUAGGUGAGAGGGAAGUAGAAUUUCAGGUGUAGCGGUGAAAUGCGUAGAGAUCUGAAGGAAUACCGAUGGCGAAGGCAGCUUCCUGGCAUCAUACUGACACUGAGGCUCGAAAGCGUGGGUAGCAAACAGGAUUAGAUACCCUGGUAGUCCACGCCGUAAACGAUGUC
RNAcentral lists this ribosomal RNA (369 nucleotides) under uncultured Psychrobacter sp. RNAcentral's name for it is "bacterial SSU rRNA". It matches the Rfam family "Bacterial small subunit ribosomal RNA", at positions 446 to 813 of the family's 1533-position model. Lineage: Bacteria; Pseudomonadati; Pseudomonadota; Gammaproteobacteria; Moraxellales; Moraxellaceae. The record is from RNAcentral.